Molecule: long non-coding RNA, 992 nt
Filed under: Penaeus chinensis
Lineage: Eukaryota; Metazoa; Arthropoda; Malacostraca; Decapoda; Penaeidae
Description: uncharacterized LOC125032764, transcript variant X1
Source: RNAcentral
ACGUCGGGAUCUCAGGCCUGUUGCGUGAACGUCUCUUGCACGAACGCGUCUUCCGCGACGUCGACGGCGACCGAAGGGCAGACGGAUAGUACCUCCGGCGGCUUGGUAACCUAAGGAUGGGUCAGCAAGAGGUAACGCUGAGCGCCCCGUCCCUCGCCGUGGCCCUGGGGGUGACGCUGACCCUGGGCUUCGUGUGCGGGUACCAGUUCAAGGCCUGGAGGAUAGAGUGGCUGAAGCGGAGGCGGGAGAGGCUGCAGAGGAAGAUCCAGCAGACGCAGGCGGAGAUCGACCUGCUGCAGAAGGGGCACUGAGGGUGCCUUCCUCACACUGUCUGCUGCCAUCCAUCAUAUAAAUAGCUUUGUUAAUUCUGUAUCGCAAAGUAGAAAGCAAUUGACAUAGAACCUAAUUUAACAAAACUGAACAUUAGUGCCACAUUUCUAACUGAACUCAGGGCUUUGGUGAAGAAUAUUUUAUAGGUGGAAACAUAUUCAUUAAAAUAGAAUUUUGACAAUACAUAAUAAAAUCUUGCACAAUUAAAUAUCAUUGGUAGUCAGUGUGAAGAGGAUCUACAGUCCAGCUACCCAAGAGGUUGUGAAAUAUUAUGGCAGCUGGAGCAUUGGCCUCUCAAUUCUGGAACUGUGAGGGAACAGUACAAGUUGUAUUCUGGGGUGUGACAUACGUGACAUGUAAUACCUGGGAACAUCUGGAAAACAAAGUGCAUCUAACCAUGAAGAAUCAAGAAUUAUUAACCAAUGGUGCUAUUAUGGUGUCCUUGAAGUGUUGUUCUAAGUUUUAUAAAUCAGAAACAGGGUUCAGUCUAUACUAAAGAACAGGAUGGAGGAGCUAACCCAGGGGGUGAAUUGACAAAUAAUUAUAGUUCCAAAUUAGUUGACAAUAUUUAUAUACAUGAAGAAUAAAAUUUUGUAUGGCAUUUUGUAUUUCUUUGUAUAUAUAGGAUUCUAUAUGAUCAAGUAUAGAUUUGAGUAAAUUCA